UGAGGAAUAUUGGUCAAUGGACGAGAGUCUGAACCAGCCAAGUAGCGUGAAGGAUGACUGCCCUAUGGGUUGUAAACUUCUUUUAUAUGGGAAUAAAGUGAGCCACGUGUGGCUUUUUGUAUGUACCAUACGAAUAAGGAUCGGCUAACUCCGUGCCAGCAGCCGCGGUAAUACGGAGGAUCCGAGCGUUAUCCGGAUUUAUUGGGUUUAAAGGGAGCGUGGGCGGAUUAUUAAGUCAGUUGUGAAAGUUUGCGGCUCAACCGUAAAAUUGCAGUUGAUACUGGUAGUCUUGAGUGCAGUUGAGGCAGGCGGAAUUCGUGUGUAGCGGUGAAAUGCUUAGAUAUCACGAAGAACUCCGAUCGCGAAGGCAGCUCACUAGACUGCAACUGACACUGAUGCUCGAAAGUGUGGGUAUCAAACAGG
This 423-nucleotide ribosomal RNA is filed under the name uncultured bacterium. Its description in RNAcentral is "bacterial SSU rRNA". It matches the Rfam family "Bacterial small subunit ribosomal RNA", at positions 355 to 776 of the family's 1533-position model. The record is from RNAcentral.